This 440-nucleotide ribosomal RNA is filed under the name uncultured bacterium. RNAcentral's name for it is "partial 16S ribosomal RNA". It matches the Rfam family "Bacterial small subunit ribosomal RNA", at positions 338 to 795 of the family's 1533-position model. The record is from RNAcentral.
CCUACGUGAGGCAGCAGUGGGGAAUAUUGCACAAUGGGGGAAACCCUGAUGCAGCGACGCCGCGUGAGUGAAGAAGUAAUUCGUUAUGUAAAGCUCUAUCAGCAGGGAAGAAAAUGACGGUACCUGAGUAAGAUGCCCCGGCUAACUACGUGCCAGCAGCCGCGGUAAUACGUAGGGGGCAAGCGUUAUCCGGAUUUACUGGGUGUAAAGGGAGCGUAGUCGGCAGUGCAAGUCUGGAGUGAAAGGCGGGGGCUCAACCCCCGGACUGCUCUGGAAACUGUACGGCUGGAGUGCAGGAGAGGUAAGUGGAAUGCCUAGUGUAGCGGUGAAAUGCGUAGAUAUUAGGAGGAACACCAGUGGCGAAGGCGGCUUACUGGACUGUAACUGACGUUGAGGCUCGAAAGCGUGGGGAGCAAACAGGAUUAGAUACCCGAGUAGUC